UACGAAGGGGGCUAGCGUUGCUCGGAAUUACUGGGCGUAAAGGGCGCGUAGGCGGACAUUUAAGUCAGGGGUGAAAGCCCAGGGCUCAACCCUGGAAUUGCCUUCGAUACUGGAUGUCUUGAGUUCGGGAGAGGUGAGUGGAAUGCCGAGUGUAGAGGUGAAAUUCGUAGAUAUUCGCAAGAACACCAGUGGCGAAGGCGGCUCACUGGCCCGGUACUGACGCUGAGGUGCGAAAGCGUGGGGAGCAAACAGG
RNAcentral lists this ribosomal RNA (253 nucleotides) under uncultured bacterium. RNAcentral's name for it is "partial 16S ribosomal RNA". It matches the Rfam family "Bacterial small subunit ribosomal RNA", at positions 524 to 776 of the family's 1533-position model. The record is from RNAcentral.